AUGCUAGCAUUGGAGGGCUUUGAUUUGAGGAGGGGAUGGCAUAGCUAUCUCUGGUACGGUAAAAGAUCAGUAGAGAAAAACUUCGGAAAUCACUUUAUCAGAUCCUCAUUAAUAAAAACUUGGGAAAAAUAUAAGGGAAGAAUAUAUAUGAAGACACCCCUAUGGAUUUCACCUUUGGAAGCUAAUCAGAAAAUUUUUUUGGAUUGGACAAAAUGGCCAAAAUACAAAGAAAUAUUAAGAAAAAAGGAUGGGCAAUUUCAACUAAAACAACAUGAGGAAAUAAGACAAAAAUACAACAAAAUGUCAUGGUUUCAGUAUGCCCAGCUAAAAGAACAAUUUGGGAAAGAUAAAAAAUUAGGAUUUAAUGAGACUGAAAAUUUCUGGGAUACCAUGAUGCAAAAUAGCAAGAAGGAAAUUGCGAGAAUAUACAAGAAGUUACUAGAAUGGUCUACAGAGAUAGAAUAUGUAAAAAUAUGUGCCACAAAAUGGGCAAAGAAUAUUGGACGUUCAAUUAUGAUGUCAGAAUGGGAAGCAAUAUGGAAUAUAAAACAAAAAUAUACGUACGCCUCAGAUUUACAGGAAAACUGGCUCAAAAUGUUCCAUAGAUGGCACAUCACACCAAAAAAGAUAGCAACCAUGUAUAAAAACACAGACAAUAAAUGCUGGAAAUGUAAAAAGCAAGAAGGGUCAUACUUUCAUAUCUGGUGGACAUGUUCGGAAACAAAAUCAUUUUGGAAAGCAGUACAUGAAGAAACACAGAAAAUACUACAAAAAUCAUUCCCAAUGAAGCCAGAGUUUUAUUUACUUGGGUUGACAGAGAGUAUAAUGAAAUUGAACUCAAAUGAGGACAAAAUAUUUACAUACGCAGCGACAGCAGCAAGAAUAACCUUUGCAAAAUAUUGGAAACAAAGAGAAAUACCAACAAAUCAACAUUGGUUGGAGAAAUUGAAUGAGAUAUAUGAUAUGGACAAAUUAACAUAUCUAAUGAAAAUAAACAGGGGUAAUACAAUAAAAUCAACUAACUGGGAAAAAUAUGUAGAAUACAAGGAAAAGGCAAAGGAGAAAUAA
RNAcentral lists this long non-coding RNA (1068 nucleotides) under Anolis carolinensis (green anole). RNAcentral's name for it is "lncRNA (ENSACAG00000036008.1)". Lineage: Eukaryota; Metazoa; Chordata; Lepidosauria; Squamata; Anolidae. The record is from RNAcentral.